This 23-nucleotide non-coding RNA is filed under the name Cricetulus griseus (Chinese hamster). The record is from RNAcentral. Lineage: Eukaryota; Metazoa; Chordata; Mammalia; Rodentia; Cricetidae.
GCAUGUCUCUGUGGCGCAAUCGG